AUGAAUUGUCUAAGCUGGAACUACCGGGGGCUUGGGAACCCUGAGGUAGUUCACGAGCUUCGCAAUAUGGUGAAGCAAGAACUACCCGACCUUCUUUUCGUCAUGGAAACAAAUAUUAGGGGAUAGAGAGUAGAAAAUAUGCAGACUACUUUGGGUUUUGUCGGAUGUUUUGCAGUUGACAGUGAUGGCUUGAGUGCUGGUCUUGGGCUGUUUUGGUCACAAGAGGUUUCAGUGGAGCUGAAGAGUUUUAGUCUCUGCCAUAUUGAUGUAAUGGUGCAAGCGGUGGAUAAUUCUUUCAAUGAAUGGAGAUUUACAGGCUUUUACGGUGUUCCAAGAGUUGAGGAUCGACAUCACAGUUGGAGAUUUCUCUGUACAUUGCAUGCAGUACCUCAUAAAGCAUGUCUAUGUAUUGGUGAUUUUAAUUAG
This 426-nucleotide ribosomal RNA is filed under the name Triticum aestivum (bread wheat). Its description in RNAcentral is "partial small subunit ribosomal RNA". Lineage: Eukaryota; Viridiplantae; Streptophyta; Magnoliopsida; Poales; Poaceae. The record is from RNAcentral.